Long non-coding RNA from Myzus persicae (green peach aphid), 1949 nucleotides. RefSeq lists it as uncharacterized. The transcript has 3 exons. NCBI's taxonomy places the organism in Eukaryota, Metazoa, Arthropoda, Insecta, Hemiptera, Aphididae. The record is from RefSeq and is a predicted model, not a curated record.
AGCACCAUAAUAAUAUGUGGAACAUGAUUUAGAAGAACCAAUUUUACCCUGGCCAAAUUAUCAAAAAUAUUUUAAAGUAUUAAGAGUCAUUGAGGAUAAUUUUUUUUCAAGAAGCUGAAAGUGAAGUGUUAAAGUUGUGUCGAUACAAAGUGUUACAAGGUGGAUUCACGUUCAAACUCUAAUAUAAGAAAACAUUCAAGCACACAACAUUCAACUAUAUUAAAGAAAAUUGAUCACAUCGAUAAUGUAGCGAACAAAAACACUUUAAAGAGAUGCAAUGAUGUAUCAUAAUGCUGGUAGUUCUUUAAAACAAUCAGAUCAAAACAACACGUUUUAGAAGAUUUUUUGAACAACAAAAAAUGAACUAGUCAAAGUAAGAAUGUGUAUUGUUUAUUUUUAUUUUUUGUUUUAUUAAAUAGUUUUUAGUUGCAGCAUUAACAAAAGUAGUUGUUAUUUACAUGACUACAUGACUAUAUACUGAUACAUUGCUAGUGAACGAUACGGUUGUUAAUGAUUUAGAAGAAAUCGACGCAUUCAACUUGAACAUUCUAAAUGAUGAAGACCAUGAUUUACCAUAUGUAUUACCAAAACACCAUCAAUGUUGUGCACACACAAAAAAUUUAAUAGCAACAAGGGUAAUUAAACAUUUAUUUAAGAAGAUAACCUAAUAUAGUUUAAUUAUAAAAUACUAAAAAUAUUUUUAUCGAAAAGAAUAUAUUUUGAGUAAGUUUAGUGAUCAGGACAAAACUAUUAGGUAGUAGGUUUAACACUUAAUAAUCAUAAUCAAAUUUGUAUGAGUUGUAAUACAUUUAAAAAUUAAAUUUUUCUUUCAAUUGAAAUGAUAAAAAUAUUCUAAGAUAUAAGUAUAUAUUUCCCAGGCAUUUGACAAAGUCUGGCACGAAGGUCUUCUGUUUAAACUUCGUACAUUUCUUCCUCCUUCACUGUUUCUACUAAUGGAGUCAUAUCUUACAGACCGACAUUUUCAAAUACGUCAAGGUUCUGCCGCCUCAAAUAUAGCCACAAUUAGUGCAGGAGUACCCCAAGGAGGUGUACUUUCUCCUAUCUUAUUUAAUAUUUAUGCAGCCGACCAACCUACUACACAAAAUACUAUUGUUGCUGAUUAUGCUGACGACAAAGUCAUAUUGUCAGUACAUAAUGAUCCACUAAUUGCUUCAAGAAAUUUACAAUCCCACCUAAAUCUACUCUCAGAAUGGUAUGCCAAAUGAAAAAUUAAAUUAAAUAACAACAAAUCCAUUCACGCGACUUUCACACUAAGACACAUACUUUGCCCUAAUGUAACUGUAGAUAAUUUACCCAUCCCUGCUCUUGACACUGUUAAAUACUUAGGACUAAACCUCGAUAAAAGAUUAACAUGGAAAAAUCAUAUAAGGAAAAAAAGAUUAAUACUUAAUGCCCGCUCAUGUUCUCUAAAAGUAUUACUUUCAAAAAAUAAAUUCACAUCUUUAAAAACAAAACUUCAAAUAUACAAAUCUCUUCUGAAACCGAUAUGGACGUAUGGAAUCCAAAUAUGGGGAUCGGCAAAAAAAACAAAUUUAAACAAAAUUCAGGCCUUCCAAAAUAUUACCCUUCGUAAAAUCACAAAUGCCCCACCCUUCGUCUCUAACAUGACCCUCCACAAAGACCUAGGUAUAAAAACAGUAGAAGAAGAAGCUGCUAUUUUCUAUAAACAUUUUUACAAUAAAUUAGAAAACCAUGAAAAUCCUCUAAUAAAAGGCUCACAUAUCCCGUCACCUCCUGGAAAUCCCCGUCGCAGGCUGAAAAGGAAAUGGUGUAGGGAUCAUCUAAUUUAAUCCUAACAAGUUAUGUAAUCACAUAAUAAACAUGCUAAGUGCUACUGAUGGGUGGCUUCUUAUUCACGUAACUCCAUAAUGUUUUGUUACCCUUAUCUCAUAUAUACUUAUUGUGCUUAAUUGUAUAGAUUGUGUAUU